GUAAUAUGCGUGUGACCACUCAUGAAGGCGAAGCUUGACUGCAUAUGGUUUGUUUCCACAGGAAAUCUGGCACUUAUACUGAAAGAAAUAUCUGAACCCUUGUGGAUUUUUACUGUUGUAUUCUUACUGUUCAUUAGAGAAGGAGACAUAAGAGAGUUUCAUCAGAUGUAAAAGAGCAUUCCCAGGGAAUAUGAUCAAUGACCAAAGGACUCAUUUCUUUCUGACAUUCUGCCUGUUUAUGGGGGUGCUUUGCAUCAUGUUUUUUCUUCAUGUUGUGCUGUUAAAAGAGAUGAGAUAUAUGGAAAAUAACUGGACUUGGUGUGAAAAAAAAAAAACACAACAAAAAAAAAACGGCAGCUGACCAAUAAACUACCUAGAAAGAAUUCAGCCUGGAUCUCAGCUGCAAAUUACAUCACUGAAAAAUGUGGAAAUGUCUUUGAAAGCCCAUCUAAAGCCCUAAUUAUCCUUAAUGUAAGAGGACCAUUAUCGUCUACAGAUGAAAUGAAUAAUACAAGAAAGUAAGAAAUAUUCCAAAGUUUUGGUUACCUUAAUAAAUUCCUAAACGUGAAGGAACUCACAGAUCUUCAUCCAAUGCAACCAGAAAUUACUAAUGCAGGUGGGAGUAUCAAAAGCUUGAGUUUUUCAGCUGGCAUCUUACAACAUCUUCUGUUGAGACGGUGCUUUUCAUCCACUGUACUGAUGGAUUGUGACUAUAGCUGCCCAGAAAAGAUAUAACAAGGAUGUCUGUUUCCUGGAUAACCAUCAUGUAGGUGUAGAACAUGAGAUGCUGCUAAUUUCAGAGGCUCAUCAGGAUAUUAAUAGCCUGCUUACUUUGAAAGUAAUGGGCUUGUUUGAAUUCCUGGUCCUGAAAUACAGGAAACAUUCAGGAUAGGUUUUUCAACCAGGAUGGCUUUUUAAGUGAAGUUGAAACAGGUCACUGGAAAAAAGGACGCAGAAAGAAAUUUGGGACUGAUUAGUAAAGUCCACUUACCAGGUUCUGCUUGCCCAGUUCAACAUAAGCAGUUUUUUAUUAAUUAAUAAAUCAUCCUGUCUUUCUCUGCAGAUUGAGAAUUCUUCAAAGUGGCUUACAUGCAGUUCUUAGUACAGCUGCUUGCUGGGGGUGUGUGCUCUGUGUGGGGGAUCUAUCAGCAGCCUGGCUACCUCUGCAUGAUCUUGGGUAAGUCCUGAAUAAAAAUCAAAGGCCAGAUUGUUCUGUUUUACCAAAUGUGUUGCCUGGGGCCUGCUAAUUAAUAGAAUGUCUAGGAAUGUCAUACAUCUAUUGAAAAAAAAGUGUCACUUGAAAAUUGCUAUUGUUUUAAUUGAAUGUUGUCAUUUUCGCAUAGUGACCGAUAUCUCAGCCUACCAGUCUUUUGAAAGAGCAAACUGGAACAUGGGAAAACAGGCCACUCAUAGGAAAACACUGUCUGUUUUUAAGUUAUUUUUUAACUUAGGUCCCACAGAGCCAUAAAUGCUCCCACAUGUUGACUGGGGGCCUUAUCCUGAAAUCCGAACUUGUGUUUCUUAUGAGUUAUUCCAUCAUAAGUCAGUGCUGGAGGCUAACUGUAAACAGGGGUUGCAGAAUUGGUCUGAUUUUGACUUAGCAAUAGAGCAUAACUCUAUGAAAAUUUGCUGGAGAUAUGGCAGCUAGUAACAUGGGCAGACCAGCUGAAACUCCGAAGUUUCAUGAUGGUAGGCAUGCAGGAUUGUCUACCAGUAAGUGUCUGCAGAAUUGGGUGGUAGGUGGUCCUACUUUAUUUGCUGUUUUAGCAGAAGUCUGGUACUUGUUAGGGAGUGAGUUAGUUCCUCUGGGAAAGGUGGGUGUAACUUGUCAGGACAUGAAGGAUAACUAACCUCAGACAUUUGGGAAGUUGUGUGUGUGUUUUGAUGCAUAUGAUUUUGUUAUGUAAAAUAGUGAGGCUCACCCCCUUCUCUGCCUGAUCGUGCCCUCUUGUGGGUUUCUGCACAGUUCUUUUGAAGGAGAAGGGUAGCUCAUAUGAUGAGGUGAGAAAGAAGAUGAAUGGAAAUAGAAACCAGGAGGAAUCAGAUCUUCAGCUGAAUAGUUAUAAGGGCUUCUAGCAUUCAAAAUUUUUUUGUCUUGUGUCACUGGGCCUAUAGGGGAAAAAUGAACAUUAUCUAAAGGUUACAUCUUGAUUUUUACAGAAUAAUUUGGCCACAAUUUAAUUGAGCAUUAUGAGAAGCAUUUUAUAUGAUAUCUCACUGUAU
Molecule: long non-coding RNA, 2223 nt
Organism: Pezoporus flaviventris
Lineage: Eukaryota; Metazoa; Chordata; Aves; Psittaciformes; Psittacidae
Exons: 4
Source: RefSeq, a predicted model, not a curated record